Molecule: ribosomal RNA, 506 nt
Filed under: uncultured bacterium
Lineage: Bacteria
Description: bacterial SSU rRNA
Rfam family: Bacterial small subunit ribosomal RNA
Source: RNAcentral
GGACGAACGCUGGCGGCGUGCCUAACACAUGCAAGUCGAGCGGGGACAUGCGACGGAUAGGAAGAUUUCGGUUGGACUUGAAGAUGCAUUGUUCUAGCGGCGGACGGGUGAGUAACGCGUGAGCAACCUGUCCCUUACAGGGGGAUAACACAGCGAAAGUUGUACUAAUACCGCAUAAGACCACGGGAGGACAUCCUUCAGGGGUCAAAGGAGGAAUCCGGUAAGGGGUGGGCUCGCGUCCGAUUAGAUAGUUGGUGAGGUAACGGCCCACCAAGUCGACGAUCGGUAGCCGACCUGAGAGGGUGAUCGGCCACAUUGGGACUGAGACACGGCCCAAACUCCUACGGGAGGCAGCAGUGGGGAAUAUUGGGCAAUGGGGGGAAACCCUGACCCAGCAACGCCGCGUGAGGGAAGAAGGUUUUCGGAUCGUAAACCUCUGUCCUUGGUGAAGAGGAAGAGACGGUAGCCAAGGAGGAAGCCCCGGCUAACUACGUGCCAGCCGCCGC